GGACGGGUGAGUAACACGUGGGCGACCUGCCUGUAAGACUGGGAUAACUUCGGGAAACCGGAGCUAAUACCGGAUAAUGCAUAACCUCUCAUGAGGCUAUGCUGAAAGAUGGUUUCGGCUAUCACUUACAGAUGGGCCCGCGGCGCAUUAGCUAGUUGGUGAGGUAACGGCUCACCAAGGCAACGAUGCGUAGCCGACCUGAGAGGGUGAUCGGCCACACUGGGACUGAGACACGGCCCAGACUCCUACGGGAGGCAGCAGUAGGGAAUCUUCCGCAAUGGACGAAAGUCUGACGGAGCAACGCCGCGUGAGUGAUGAAGGUUUUCGGAUCGUAAAACUCUGUUGUUAGGGAAGAACAAGUGCCGGAGUAACUGCCGGCACCUUGACGGUACCUAACCAGAAAGCCACGGCUAACUACGUGCC
This 423-nucleotide ribosomal RNA is filed under the name marine sediment bacterium BB0608_AND_5.1_4G0. RNAcentral describes it as "bacterial SSU rRNA". It matches the Rfam family "Bacterial small subunit ribosomal RNA", at positions 100 to 509 of the family's 1533-position model. The record is from RNAcentral.